UUAAGUCCGCUAACGAGCGCAACCCUCGUCGUAUGUUAUAUGUGUCAUACGAGACUGCCGGUAAAAGCCGGAGGAAGGUGAGGAUGAUGUCAAGUCAGCAUGACCUUUAUAUCCAGGGCUACACACACGCUACAAUGGUCUGUACAAUGGGUAGCCAAGCCGCGAGGCGGAGCCAAUCCUGAAAGCAGGCCUCAGUUCAGAUUGCAGUCUGCAACUCGACUGCAUGAAGCCGGAGUUGCUAGUAACCGCAGGUCAGCAAUACUGCGGUGAAUACGUUCCCGGGUCUU
Molecule: ribosomal RNA, 287 nt
Filed under: uncultured Anaerolineaceae bacterium
Lineage: Bacteria; Bacillati; Chloroflexota; Anaerolineae; Anaerolineales; Anaerolineaceae
Description: partial 16S ribosomal RNA
Rfam family: Bacterial small subunit ribosomal RNA
Source: RNAcentral